GACACGAAUGGGAGCGGUCUCCGCCCCCUUCCGCCUCUCCCCGCGGAACUACAGCUCCCAGCGCGCCCCGCGCCGUUCCCAUGGCGACGGGCAGCCGGGCCCGGGCAGAGAGCGGCGAUGCCGAAGGCCGGCAGCGAAACUCUGUGGGAUAUUGCUCGAGAUGAAGUAGAGAAGAGAGAAAACACCGAUGACAACGGCAAGCGUGUGGAAGUUUGGGAGAAAUCGGUGUUGUUUAUGGGAAGCAAAAACGGGGGGAAAACCACUAUUAUACUGAGGUGUCUUGAGAGGGAAGAGAUUCCUAAGCCAACAUUAGCUUUGGAAUAUACCUUUGGAAGACGGGCAAGGAGACACAAUGCACCCAAAGAUAUAGCUCAUUUUUGGGAAAUAGGCGGUGGAACCUCCUUACUGGAACUGAUUCGAAUACCAAUCACUAUCAACAACAUAAGGUCAUUUGCAGUAGUUCUUGUAUUGGAUCUGUCCAAACCUAAUGAACUGUGGAUGACUAUGGAGAAUCUUCUGCAGGCCACCAGAAACCACGUGAAUAAAAUUUUAGCCAAACUGGAAAAGACAGAUCGUGAAGUAGCUACCGAAAUUAAGCAGAAGAUGCAGAGCAGUCUGCAGAGGGAUCAUCCAGAUUAUGACUUGGUUGACCCUUUUCCAAUACCCUUGGUGAUUAUUGGAAGCAAAUACGAUAUAUUUCAUGAGUUUGACUCUGAAAUGAGGAAAAUAAUAAGCAAGACACUUCGAUUUGUUUCGCAUUAUUAUGGAGCAUCAUUGGUGUUUACCAGUAAAUCUGAGGCUCUCCUGCUGAAAGCUCGUGUUCUUAUUAAUCACUUGGCAUUUGGCUAUGAUAGAAGCAAGUCCAUAUCAGUGGAUCACAGCAAACCGCUCUUUAUCCCAGCAGGCUUGGAUUCACUGAGCCAAAUAGGGCCACCACCCACCUCUGACAACAGCAUUGGAAAGAUGCAUGCAAACACACCUUUGGAACUGUGGAAAAAAGUAUUUGAGAAGACAUUUCCUCCCAAGGUUGGUGUUUACAGAGUUUCUGUGGUUUACAAGAUAGCAGGGACCCUGCGCAGGAUCCACAAUAUGCUGAGUACGAAGUUGAUGUCAUGAGAGCUCAGAAAAACCAGGAACUUGAACAGUACAAAAGAAAUGCCUCCAAAUCCUGGAAAGAAAUGGAUUUUGAUCCUGCUUGAUGAACUGCUGAAGUAAUUCACAGGCUGCUUCAGAAAACAAGAUUUAGAACUUAAUACUGAGAAGAAAGAACAAAUAUAAAUAACGUAACUGUCUUCUGUGAUCUAGCAUCGCUUACAAAACAAAAACUUUUGGUAACUUUUAUGUUGUUUAAAGAUCUUGUACUCAUGGAUGCAGUGGUUGGAUAGGAUGCAUAAGAUUAAAGUGAUUUCUUGAUUCUGUCCUUUAUUACAAUAUUUGGUUUGUUCUCUUUCUACAAGUCCCACAGAUGGUAACAAAACAAAGCAUACUACUUUAAAAACAAUUCUAGAAGCAAGAUUUACUCAGCAGUUCUAUCUCUCUGCUUAUUGGUAAUAGCUUAAAAAAAUACUAGGGAAAAGAUCAGAGCACCAUUAGAUACAUUGUUAAAAAAUGAACACAUCAGCAGACUAAAUUAAAUUAUACAAGUCCUCUAAAACAUGUAAUACUGUUGAAAUGGCUGAUUUGGGAGGGAAGAGAAGGGUGGGAAUACCCAGAAUAGCGGGAAGUAAUUCACACUCUUAUUAGAACAUUGUUUUUUAAGAUGGAAAGUAUCCAGUUAGAAUCAGGCAAGGGAAGAUGAAUGUGUUUCUGUAUGUUUGAUCACUUAAAUUCUAUAUAAAAUCCAGCAGAUCAAGCUUUGAAGUAUAAUAAAAUUAAAAGUACAGUGUUACACAUUGUUAGAACUGCUACCUUUUUCACUGCCUGCUAAUAAUCCUCUCUCUUAUUUUGAAGCUCAGGAUUGCUAUAAUGGCAAGUACUGGUAUAAAAGCAUAGAGCAGCAAGAAAUCCACUGUGAACCGGGACAAUGCACCAGGAAAGUUUUGUUCAAUGAACUGAACGCCACGAGAGAUUGGACAUGCAACAUUCAUUGUAGUGGAACUGUUGUCUCCGUCUGUCAAAAGAAAAAAAAUAAUUCCUUCAGUAAGUUUAUCAGUAAAAUUAAAACUCAGGGUCCAGUAUCUAGGCCCAUACAUUUAAUUUAUCUAGCCCUAAUGUUAUCUUAAUGAUGAACUAAACCCACAGCUUCAGCUCUCACCUUUUUGGUGUAAGAACAGACAAACCAUACGUUUCUGCAGUUAAUCUAGGCCAUGUCCUCUGAAGAAACAAACAGAAUGUCUCUAGGAGCUUUCUGUUUUGUUCAUACCAAGUAAAUGAAGGGUGUAGAGUGGCCGCAGUUUGGCCAAUAUGAUAGACGUAUCGUUCACAUUAAUCACCAGCUGUUAACAACUACUCCCAAAGUCAUGGACUCACUUUCUAACAGUUGUUUUUAUGGUUGUAUUCAAACAGUUGCCACCUACGCUUUCUAAUGAAGAGGGACAGGAGAGAUUGAUGACAAAUAGUGCAUAAAGGAUAUGUAGCCUUGGAGAGAAGCACAGACAUCUGUCCACAAAAGCCCAAAAUAUCUUAAGGCUGAAAUAUAGCUGAAAGCUUUACCCCUGUUGACAGAUUCACAUCUCCUUCUAAUCCUUCCAACUUGAUUCUAAUGUUUUGCCGCUUACCUUGCUCACAAACAGCGAAGCACAGCCUGGCAGGUCAAAGCUGCUCAAUAUUUGCUGUAGCAAUAUAUUUGAACUGAAGCCUCACUAGAGUUAGAGGAAAUGUCUGGUCAGGUGUUAGGUGUACUGCUCCCUGCACUGAUAUUCGAUCCUAUACCAUCUGUUUCUAUUGAUACUCUAUUUGUGCAACGGCUCUGAUAAGCACAUAGCAGGCUGCAAAGUUGACUUUCCAAAAUGACCCAAAAGGGGAAUAAAAAAACAGGCGAAGAAGAAAAAGAUAAAAAACUGAAAGGAUGAGAAAUGCUUGAAAAAAAUAGCUGGAUGUUUAUCUAGCUUGCAGAUAUAGAGUUACAGUACAUUUUUCCUAAUCAAUAAGUUUGGGAUGCUUUAAACAACUGCAAGUUGUCUUUAAGUUAUCAGGAUAAUUCUCUUGUUAGUAGAAGGAAAGGAAUACUUCUGAAUACUUACCACAAGUGAAGUUUAAGCCAUAAAAUUCAUUGACUACCAGAAUCUCACUGCUGUAUUUUUGAAAGGUGAGAUAACCAAGUAUUUUAAAGGGUGUUGGCAUUUCUUCUACAGUCCUUUUAAGAAACAGAGAAGUUACGUUGCCUUUUGCUACAUUCCAAGAGCCAGUGCUGCGCUAAAUUAAAACAAUCUUUAUGGUUGUAGAAGAGUUACAGGAAGAGUUCUUGGCUGUACAUGUCAGCUUUUCAAACAUAAGUUUUAUUUCAGUGCUAAAUGAGGAGACAACAACAAAGGUUCUCUCUGACUUUGGUAUGGCAUCGUAACAUUCAGUCCUUACUUGUUGGUGGUGCAUCACAAUGUUCCUUCACAUUUAUUAAGCUAUUUAUUGGUUUAAUAUUUUUAUGUAGUUGAGUUCACACAAAUUAAAAAAGGUGUCUGAAUGACUAAAUUGGAUAAGAAUAUUAAUAAAAUUGUUGAGAACAACUGUUUUUUUCUAAAACCAGUAUUUAAUGUGUGUUAAGUUCCAGCAAUUAUUAAAACUUGUAGGAUUUUUCUGGUAGAAUUCUCUAAAGAGGACGGCGUUUCAUACAAUCAUGUUGGCAUAAGUAAAAGAAUUCAGCUGAGCUGAGAGAUUUGAAUUGCUCAAUUUUAUCUUCAGCUUCUAUGCAAAAUGACAUAAUAAAUAAACAUUUUAAUAUCUUUG
This is an RNA transcript of Numida meleagris (helmeted guineafowl), 3882 nucleotides long. It is a transcript of the gene named dynein cytoplasmic 2 light intermediate chain 1, with no coding region annotated. The transcript has 14 exons. The record is from RefSeq and is a predicted model, not a curated record. NCBI's taxonomy places the organism in Eukaryota, Metazoa, Chordata, Aves, Galliformes, Numididae.